This 9805-nucleotide long non-coding RNA is filed under the name Homo sapiens (human). RNAcentral's name for it is "HSALNT0073606". Lineage: Eukaryota; Metazoa; Chordata; Mammalia; Primates; Hominidae. The record is from RNAcentral.
AGACCAACAUUUGCCAAGAGUGUUUAUGGAUUACUUAAUUAUAAAGUUUGCAUGUUGAAAUCUUAAAGAAACAAGCAGAUUGACAUGACUUGUUUAAAAAUGCAGUAUUCAUUAAUGAAUUCAAUCCAUCAGCAAUAUUUCUUCAUUGUCAUAGAUUUCCUCAGUUUUAUCAGGGCCAUAGUUGCUUGGAAAAAAUAUUCACCAGAAAAAGGUUUCUUUUUAAUAGUAAUUACUUGGAAAGAAUAUAAAGUUCUUCAUUUCUCUCAAAUGAUAGAACACUUUCCAUAAAGGUUCUCACGAAGUAAUGAAGACUGCUAAACCCACAUCUUUUCUUGUUUUCUUCAGCUACAUUAAAUGUCAAUCUCGUUAGAGAAGUUUACUAGAUGCGGGUGGAAAAUCCUAUUUACAAUUUACAUAUUCCAGGUAUAAGGAUAAGAUAAGUAAGCCACAAUGACUACUACAGUGUACAUGAGAAGGCUUAUCUUUUUCAGAGGUCAUUACUGUAAAUAGAAUCAUUGAAAAUUGCAAGACAUUAAUUUGUGGAAUGAAUAUACAGAGAGAGCUGAUAUAUUGAAGCAACACACACAGGAAUAUUCCACUUUAGCCUCACUUCCACUCUAGCUCUUUGGGAGCUAUUAUUAUAGGAAAAAUGACACUGUUAUCAAUAGAGAACAUAUGCAUGUGAUUUUGGUGAGUGGAGAUGAUGAAGAAGAUGGAGGUGAUCCAAGAUGUGUGAAACACCGACUUUGCCGAAUUAAGCCUGGCAAGCUCUGGAGGCUGGGACCUCCAAGAUCAAGGCACUGGCAGAUUUGGUAUCUGCUCCAACAUUAUGGUUGCUCAGUUUCUUCAGAAAGCAACUCAUGGAGAAGUACAAACCACAGUUAGAAAGUUGAGAGAUUUCAAUGAGAAGCACAGGACCUUUAAGUCACAUGGUUACCUUCAGAAUGCACUCACCAAUUGGUACAGUUAUGAAACCUCUAGAAGUCAUCCAUUCUUGUAUAGACUUACUCUCCUGGCAUGUCUACUUGCUAUGAAACAGCUGUUUAGUCAUGUUGCCAAGAAGAAAAGAAGACAGAAUGCCUCUAGAUAAAGAAAUGCUAUUCCUAUGUCAACUUGCUAUGCAAAGUGUGGACUGUGGACCAGCAGCAUGUGUGUCGCCUGGCAGCUUGUUGCAAAUGCAGAAUCUGAAGCUCUCAUCUAGACCUACUAAACAGACUUCACUUUAACAAUAUAACCGGGCAAGUCAUAUAGUCAUUAAAAUUUGAGAAGUAUGAUCUAGCAUAGAUAUUACUUCAUAAUAAAUGUUUAAUGUUUCAGUUACUAUUGCUGCAUAGCAAAACACCCCAAAAUUAAUGACUUAAAAUGACAACUACCACUUUAUUGUGAGGAAUUCAGGAAAGGCUCAUUUGGGUGUUUGGCUUAUGAUCUUUCAUAUGGGUGCAGUCAGACAAUGUCUGGAUCUGGGACUCUGGUGGACUGAAGCACCUGGUCACUGGUCUGACAUCUUUUUUUCUUCUUAUACAAUCUCAGGGCCUCUCUAUGUAAUCUUGCUGCUAGGCUAGUUUGGGCUUCCCAAAGCCUGGUAGCCUGAGGUCAGUUGGACUGCUUACACAUGGCCGAUGGCUUCAAAAAGGAGUACUCUAGUGGAGAGAGCACAAGUUGCUUGGCUUUUCUGAUCUAGCCUUAGAAGUCACUUCUGCCAUGCUCUAUUUGUUGAAACACUGUAAAACAUCAUCAGUUUGAAGGAGACAGUAUAUACACCUUACCUCUUCAUGGGAGGAUUGUCAAAGUCUCUCUGUAAGAAGAGCAUAGUAUAGGAGAUAUUGUUGUAGCCACCUUUGCAAAAUACAAUUGACACACUUAAUAUUUAUAACUAUUGCCUUUACUCCUUUAUUGUGUAGAUGUAAAUCAGUGAUUAAUUCCAGGUUAAAGGUACUUUUUGGCAUGCUCAAUAGCCGUCUUUACUUUACAGGAGGAGGUAGAGUACCAGAUGGCUUUUCCAAAAGGCAUGCUGAAAAUUAUUAGUAGUUUGAUAAAGAUUCUGAUGAAUUCCUCAAGGCUAAAUGCAGUGCUGAAUUUUCCUUUGUCAUCUUCUUUGAUCUUCUCAGUGAGAAAUUAUCUCAUCUUCUUCCAAAGCCCAUUAGAAUGUUGCCUAUUUUAAAAGUUGAGUUCUUCAUAUCAUAAAUUAAAUAUUAUGUCUAAAGAGUUUCUGGCAUAUGCUACAUACUCAAUGAUUGCAGGUAUUUUCAUUAAACCUAUUUAUAUAUAUUUCUUACCUCCUUCUCCUUUCUUUUCCUGGUGAACUGCAAUUCCUUUAGAAGCCAAUUCUGAAUUUCUAGGCAGAACAGUCAUAGUUUUCUUUCGGUUUCAAACUAAUUUAAACCCCAAAAACCAGUAUUCAUGCACAGACUUAUUAUAUUCCAUUACCUAGCAUUUCUAAAGAAUGACUUUUUUUUUUUUUUUUUUUUUACAGAGGUGAGCUUUUUAGAUAACUUACACUAUUUUAAGUUACAAGGUUUUCAUAAUCUUAAUUUUUUUCAGUGGAAAUUUUUUGCUAAAUGUGUAAUAUGCACCUAUAAUGCUAAGCAUAAGCAGAUGCUCAUAAGCUAGGGAUUCCUUUUUCUUCCUCAUUUUGUGAUGUUUAUAGCCUUGCUGCUGCCAGGGUGUCUGUACCUAGUGGCGUUUGCUCCUUUCUCAGAGAAAAUUACAUAAUAGAUUGCAUAAACAUUCUAUCUAUGAUCAGAUAAUGUGAUCUAUGAGGGAAAGCCUCAGAGAAUCUCUUAUGAAGAAGUGAAUACAUUUGCUUGUUUUUGAUUUUGAAUGAGUAUGAUACAACAAAAUAAUAAUAAAUUAUAAAAUAUAAUUAAAUUUUAUUUAAUAAUAUUCAUUAAAUAAAAAUAUUAUUAUCAUGCCAGUUUUAUGGUUUGAAUAUCACCUUUGCAUGCAUUUUCUAACUUGUUUUUGAAAACCUCACUGUAAGGUACAGUUACUCAUAGUAAAAACAAUAUGUGAUCAAUAUAAUGUUUUUAAUAAAAAUAUGGAGUUGUUCUAAACUUUCGUUUAUUUAUUUAUUUCUUUUUGAGACAGAGUCUGGCUCUAUCGUCCAGGCUGGAGUGCAGUGACAUGAUCUUGGCUCACUGCAACCUCUGCCUCCCUGGUUCAAGUGAUUCUCCUGCCUCAGCCUCCUGAGUAGUUGGGAUUACAGGCAUGCACCACAAUGCCCAGGUAUUUUUGUUUUUUUUUUUUUUUUUUUGUAUUUUUAGCACAGACAGGGUUUCACCAAGUUGGCCAGACUGGUCUGGAACUCCUGACCUCAAGUAAUCCACCUGCCUCGACCUCCCAAAGUGCUGGGAUUACAGGCUUGAGCCACCGUACCAGGCCCUGAAAUUUUAAAAUAUGACUUAUAUCCUUACCACAAAGAGAUACCAAUUUUGGUAUAUUUUCUUGUCUUAUUUUUUUCUAGUCACAGAUUUUAUUUUAUACAUGAUAUGAUCACACUGAAUAUACAAUUUUGAUUAGAGAUUUAGACAUACCUACUUUGUACUAGAAGUAUAUAUCUUCUCAAGAAUAAUGAACAUUAUUUAUUUAACUGUCACCCUUCCCUUCUGUUGAACCAUUUUAUUUAUUUCCAAAAUUUUGCAACCCUAACAAAACAUGCCUGUACUUCUUUUUCCAUAAUUAUGUUUUUAUUUAUUUAGAAACAUUUCUUGGUAAGAGAGUUGGCAGUAAUCCUAAGUUAAAGAUAUGAAUAUUUGAGGGGAUGAGGGAGUUCACUAAUAUAUAUUACAAAACUGGAACAUACACUUAAGAUUAGGAGUAUGAGUAUGAGUAUGAGAUAUGUUCCAAAUAACACGGUUAGUAACUUGGAUGAAAGCAAAAUACAACUCUAAGACAUUAUUGAAAUUUGUUCUGGUGGCUCUCUGAACUUUUGAUUGCUUACUUUCUUGUGCUCACUUAUGUUCUAAAUGCUUGAGAUUCCGGAACAAGUGAUCUUUGGGAAAGAAAGAUUUUAUAAAACACACCAUGCUAUACUUCUGCAUUUUGGCCUCUUUUAAACAACUCAGUAGAAGACUUUUUAAUUUCGAAGAGAAACACAAUUUUUAUCUUUGUUUCCUUCUUUAUUAAUAAUGAGAUUAACUUUUUCUGUUACUGCAAGACUUCUUUAAUAAACUGUUUUUUUCUAAUCACAGCUAGAAUGCAACAAAAAUAUAUUAGAGAAUUAUCUUUGAGAUAUCAUAAUUUAUGUGAAAUUAUUUUGAAAAGUGCUUGUUCAUAUCUUUUGCCCACUUUUUGAUGGGGUUGUUUGUUUGUUUUUUCUUAUAUAUUUGUUUAAGUUUCUUACAGAUGCUGUAAUUAAAUUUACUUAUGAAGUAGAAAAAGCAGUGUAAGUUAUAUCUAGAUUUGUAGACUUUGUUGCUGUUGUUAAUCACCCCUUUUGAUUAAACCUGUUUGAAAAAUCAUUUAUCUCUCAUUUUACAAAGUCUGUUAAUGGAAACCUGGCUCCUUUCUCUCCACUUAUGUUACUUGCCUGUUCUAAUAGGGCACAUAGUGCCGUAGAUGUAGAUGAAAAGGCAUAAUCCUCAACUGCCCUUGUCAUCUCCUACUUCAACUUAUUCCAUCCAUUCAAAUCCUUUAGUCUCUUUCUCAGAGAACAAAAGAUUUUGGAUGUUCAGAUUCAGGCACUUACUGAAUUUUUCUGCAUUGUAAAGGCUGGAGGAGAAAAGGUAUUUUUUUCUCUUGGAAGCUAGGAACAAUUUUGCUCCAACAUCACGUGAAACUGAAAAAGUGGGGCUGGGGGUGGAAGAGAUUGUUGCCCAGUGUGCUUCUUCCCUGGCCCAGACUGUGUUUCUAUACAAGUGGACCUCUGAGGACAUACAUUUACCUAACAUCACUUUCUCCAACUUAGGACAACACUGGGCUUCCUGGAAGCUCAGUUCUCCUUACAGGGCAGGCCCAGACUCCCUAUUUCCAGAGAAAUUUCAGGGAUGUUGCUCAAUUGUCAACAGAAGCAAGGGAAACCCAAGCAUCUUAUACUUUUUGUCUUUAUGAUAAUAGAUUUAGCUAGGAAAGUGAGGAUGGAUAAAUUUUGAAGGCUGGUCAACCUUAUAUUUCAUUGCUUAUCUAAGCAACUUCUUUUGUUUUUAAAUUUAACUUUCAUUUUAAGUUCAGGGAUACAUGUGCAUCUAGUUACUUAAUUGCUGCACACACUCAGCCUUAUCAGCCUUAACCUGAUGCCAUAAUGUAGCUUCAACGUAUCACUCUUAGAUUUAGAUCUUCAUCCAAUUCUUCUUUCCUGAACCCUUAGUUUAUAUCCAUGACUGCUUAGAGAUGUGUAGAUGCUACACGGAAGUCUUAAAUAUCCUUGAGCUCUAUAUUCACACAGCAAACUAUUUGGAUUUGCUUUUUAGCCACGCUCCUCAAACCUGUUCUUUUUUCCUGAAUAUCAAUUUUAAUAAAUUGUGCUACCAUCAACCCAGUCUCCUAUAUUAUUCUAGAUUAUUUUUCUUCACUCUACUUUGUUUCUAAACUAAUUGUUGUUUAUUAAAAUUAUCAGUUCUACCUUUCAGAAGUGCUUAAGUCUAUCUGGACAUUGAUUUGGUUCAAACCUCACCAUUUUAAAGGUAAUUUUUCUCAAUAGCCUCUAAAUACCUUGUAUGUCAUUUCCCAAAUGUCAUGUUUUUAUACCUCUAAGACUCUUUAUAUAUAAAGAUGAAUAGUUCUAAAUGCUCUUCUUUUUCUUCAGCUGUUUCAAGCUAACUUCUAUUUGUCCUUUAAGAUUCAAAUUGUUCAAGAUCUUCAUGGUGACCUCCAUCCAGUCUGGAGCCAGUCCCUCUUCUUUCUUCUAAACCAUUAUAUGUGUACUUUUCUUACAACUUCUAUUUAUAAUGUAUUAUAAUUGGUAUUGUUUGUUUCACUCUUGGUAUUGUUUAAUUGUUUCACUCUCCAAGUGUGAGUUUCUAAAUGUAGAGACUAGCUUAUUCACACCCAUACACAAUUAUUUGUGUAUAUAUGUUUAUUAGUACAUACGGAAGUGUAGUAGUAAUAAUAUACAACGUGUAUAGUAAAUUAACAAAUAGUGAUGUGGUUCAGAGAUGAAAUACUUCCCAAACUGUGAUCUUAAAAUAAGAACAACAAUAGAAAAACAAUAAAACUCUCCAUUUGUACUUUGUUGGGCUAAACACGGGAACAAUAAUACAGUCUGUCUCCUCUUAUGUUCUUUAAGAGAUGUUUGAAAAUCUUGUGACACUUGAGUAUGGUCAAGCAGAGAAGCUUUCUUUGUUAGAGUGAGUCACUAUAAAUGAUCUCUUUGUUCUCUCAGUUUGCCAGGGAUAAAGCAAUAUAAGUUACCAACUUUUUCUCUGUUUUUCUGUUAAGAACAAUAAAAAAUAAUCUCAGAAUGAAAUCUUCAAAAAUAACUUCUCCUUUUUAUGUUUUAUAGAGCCAGCUUAUAAACUACCCCUGCUCUAAACAGGCUAUCCUAUCCAGCAAGGUCACUCAAUCCUGUGAACAGCCAGUGCCAUUCCAAGGGGAAGGCAUAUUAACUCAGAAAAUGCUGACACACCUGACCUUUCAUCCCUGCCACUCAGCAGUUCUACAGAAGACCAAUUUGUAUGCAAACAAUUCACUUACAAGCCAGAAUUCCUACAAGCAUAAUACAGUUUUUCUGUAAACUCUUAGUGAUAGAAUAUGUAUUUAUGAAUUCCUUGGGAAGGGUUGCAAACUCGAAUGACCACAAGGGCCAGCCAGGGAUGGAGUGGGAACUGUGGGCAGGAGGAGAUGCUUUGUAGAGUCCAGAGGUGGCAGUGACUGUUCAGCACCAGAAACAUUGCCAUAUGGGAACUCAGACUUCAGGUAGUUGGGUCUCCUGCAUUUUGAGAGAAGCUAGAAAUGUCUUGGUAUUUAAAUGUUCACAACUAACAUAGGAAUUUAAAAAAAAAAGAUGAAGUCAAGUGUAUGCAGGUUUUGUUUUAAGGGACUUAGAAAUAAGCAAGAGCUUUAGAUUCAUAUACUUUGUCAGCUCUUCUGUUUUAAUUAACUUAAUAUCUACUGCCAGACCCUUGGUAAAACAUUUAAAGAUUAGAGAGUUGGGGUAUUAACAUCUCUGGUGUGCAUUCAGAAGUGUAUAUUAACUAGGCAAACUGAUUUCAAUAUACACUAAUACAUUAUUGCUGUGGAAAUUGUCUGGAAAUGGAAAUAUUUCCAAAGUCCCUUUAGGGAGUGUUAUUUAGAGCUAAACAGAACAACAGAAUCUCAGUUUUCCUCAAAGUUCUUUGUAGAAUAAUCUUAGUUAUAUUUCCAAAAUUAUAUUUGAUACUGGUUAAUAAAGGUAAAUGCUGCCAUCUGAACUCACUUAUUAUAAAUGUCUAAACUUGCAUUUGGUAGUAAAAUGUUGACAGGCACAACUUCCUAGUGGAAAGCACAUUGGACUGUGAGUUGGGAAAUGUGAGUUCCAGUCCUAGUUUUGAGUGCAUAGCUGUGGAAUGGAGGUCAAGUCAUUUGAUUUACCCAGGCUUUUGUGUUACAACUGUAAAUUAAGGUGGUUGGAAGAUAACUUCAAAGAUCCCUUCUAUAAUUCUGUUCCUUUGAAAAUAUUCUAGAGUUCGAAUUUCUCUUUCUUGUGACAUAGAAGAAUGUUUAGAUUAUGUAUGGAUGGUUCACUUAAAAGUUUAUUUGGGACAGGCAGCCAGCACUUUUUUUGAAAAAAUGGUCAUACUUACUAAUAUAAAAUUUAGUCUUAAAGAUUAUUAGGAAAAGUGUAUUCUCACCAAACACUUGAAAUUAUUUUUAGUAAAAGUAAAUAGAGUCUCUGAGCCAGAAACUACCCGUUGUUAAUCAGGAUGUUUCGGGCUCAAGUUCUAAAUCUGCCACUCAUUACUGUGUGACUUUAGAAAGAUCAUGUAAUUGGCCAGAUACAGUGGCUUAUGCCUGUAAUCCCAGCACUUUGGGAGGUUGAGGCAGAAGGACUGUUUGAGGCCAGGAGUUCAAAAGCAACCUGAGCAACGUAGUGACAUCCUGUCUCUACAAGAAAUUAAAAAAUUAACUGGGUGUGGUAGCCCAUGCCUGUAGUCCCAGCUACUUGGGAGGCUGAGACGGGAGAACCUCUUAAGCCCAGGAGGUAAAGAUUGCAGUGAGGGGUGAUCGCACCACUACAUUCCAGCCUAGGCAACAUUGUGAGACCCUGUCUCAAAAACAAACAAACAAAAAAAAUCAUGUAUUGAUUUGAUUUUCUUAUCUUAAAAUGUAGGCAAUAAAACCUCUCUUCUAGCUUUCCAGGUUUCCAAAUGCUUUAAGGUCAGUUAAAAUUUAAUAGUCAUAAUUGGCUUUUGUGGAAAACUUCAUGACCUCAGACUUUUAUUGUUUACCUUUUAAUGUGUUUCAUAUGAUACAGGUUUCCUUAUGAAUAUUCAAAAAGAUAUCCAAAGUUGGCAGUUCCAGUGAUUUUAAGAGUGGAUAUAGUAUAUAAAAAUGGAUUGAGAAAGUGCUACAAAUUAGAAAACCCUUUGGAAUGCUAUAGCUGUGGGACAAUUUUCUUAAAAAUAAAAAAAAAGCAAAAACCCCCUUUCUCACAAAUGAUUAUAAAAAUAGGCAAUAUUCUAGUGCUAUUAGUAGUUCCAUGCUUUCGUAAAUGAUUGUGCAUGUUUUUGCUAACUGCAAACACUAGACAAGAAAUAAAAUUUCCGUCUAAACCACAGGCCACAUCACCAUACUAUAGCAACUCUAUGGAUGAGUCACUGACUUAUGGAUUCUGUGUUUCAUGAAGCUUCUGCAAUCUCUUCUUUACAGUGAAUGUAGCUGUUUGCUUGGCAUAGUAGCAGAUAGCAAGACAGCACAGACUAUUAGAGUGGAGGGGAGAAAUGGAAGAAUGAAGGGCAAAAACAUCUCUUGUCCUGAGUGGGCUCAAGCAGGUAUGCCUAGCAUCUUUCUUUCCCAUAAAGAAGGAUAAGUGAGAGUGAUUUAGCCUCCUGCAGGUAAGCACUGUCUGAUGGCAUCACUGUUAGGCCUCCACAAGAGUCAUUAUGAUAAUAACACCUUACAGGAGAAUGACUUUUUUUUUUUUUUUUUGAGAUGGAGUCUCGCUCUGUCACCCAGGCUGGAGUACAGUGGCGCAAUCUCGGCUCACUGCAAGCUCUGCCUCCUGGGUUCAUGCCAUUCUCCUGCCUCAGCCUCCAGAGUAGCUGAGUCUACAGGUGCCUGCCACCACUCCCGGAUAAUUUUUUUGUAUUUUUAGUAGAGAUGGGGUUUCACCGCGUUAGCCAGGAUGGUCUCCAUCUCCUGACCUCGUGAUCCGCCCGCCUCGGCCUCCCAAAGUGCUGGGAUUGAGAAUGGACAUUUAGAGUUUACAAAGCAGCUUUACAACCAGUGUCCUAUUUGAUUACAACAGCCUGAGUCACUAAGUACAUUUUAUAGAUGGUAGAGUAUUGAGUUUCAAGAGGUUCAAGUGACUUGCCUGAUGUCACACAGUCAGUAAGGACAGGGCUAAGUGUGAAAUUCAGGCCAACUGUUUGCAAAAACAAUAACAAUUUUCCCUAUAACAGCCACUGCUCGUUAGGAUAAGGUGGACUAGGUCUGACUAAUUAAGCUGAUAACCAGCGCUCUUGCUAAACAACUAAGCCUACAAGGUUAUUGGUACCUUCCCACUGGAAUCUUAUAUUCAUGGUUCAAGAACUCUGAAUUUGUCUUUCUCUCGAGAAUCCAUUUAAUUCACUUCAAUUUAUAUUCAUGGAGUAUUUUACUAAAUACUAAUAUUUUACUAAAUAAAAAGUAUAUGCUUUUAUUAAAUCAUGGCUUCUUAAUAUGUAUCUAU